RNAcentral lists this transfer RNA (76 nucleotides) under Rickettsiales bacterium. RNAcentral's name for it is "tRNA-His". It matches the Rfam family "tRNA". From Rfam's summary of the family: Transfer RNA (tRNA) molecules are approximately 80 nucleotides in length. Their secondary structure includes four short double-helical elements and three loops (D, anti-codon, and T loops). The record is from RNAcentral. Lineage: Bacteria; Pseudomonadati; Pseudomonadota; Alphaproteobacteria; Rickettsiales.
GUGGGGGUAGCUCAGUUGGUAGAGCACCGGAUUGUGAUUCCGGUCGCCGGGGGUUCGAGUCCCCUCAUCCACCCCA